GGGGAAUGGCGCGUCUACCAUGCAAGUCACGGGGGGGGAGCAAUCUUCAACCGGCGAACGGGUGCGUAACACGUGAGCAACCUGCCUUUGUGUGGGGGAUAGCCGGGCUAACGCCCGGGUAAUACCGCAUACGGUUCUCGGGAGGAGUCUCCUGGGAAAGAAACCUCCGGGGCACAGAGAGGGGCUCGCGGCCUAUCAGCUAGUUGGCGGGGUAAUGGCCCACCAAGGCGACGACGGGUAGCUGGUCUGAGAGGAUGGCCAGCCACAUUGGGACUGAGAGACGGCCCAGACUCCUACGGGAGGCAGCAGUGGGGAAUCUUGCGCAAUGGCCGAAAGGCUGACGCAGCGACGCCGCGUGUGGGAGGACGCCUUUCGGGGUGUAAACCACUGUUGCCCGGGACGAACAUCCCUUUUCGAGGGGACUGACGGUACCGGGUGAGGAAGCACCGGCUAACUCCGUGCCAGCAGCCGCGGUAAUACGGAGGGUGCGAGCGUUGUCCGGAAUUAUUGGGCGUAAAGGGCGCGUAGGUGGCCCGGCAAGCGUGCGGUGAAAGCUCGGGGCUCAACCCCGAGUCGGCCGUGCGAACUGCUGGGCUCGAGCACUGUAGAGGCAGGCGGAAUUCCGGGUGUAGCGGUGGAAUGCGUAGAGAUCCGGAAGAACACCGGUGGCGAAGGCGGCCUGCUGGGCAGUUGCUGACACUGAGGCGCGACAGCGUGGGGAGCAAACAGGAUUAGAUACCCUGGUAGUCCACGCCGUAAACGAUGGGCACUAGGCGCUUGGGGGAGCGACCCUCCGAGGGCCGGCGCUAACGCAUUAAGUGCCCCGCCUGGGGAGUACGCCGCAAGGCUGAAACUCAAGGAAUUGACGG
This 869-nucleotide ribosomal RNA is filed under the name uncultured bacterium. RNAcentral's name for it is "bacterial SSU rRNA". It matches the Rfam family "Bacterial small subunit ribosomal RNA", at positions 38 to 916 of the family's 1533-position model. The record is from RNAcentral.